This 1596-nucleotide long non-coding RNA is filed under the name Homo sapiens (human). Its description in RNAcentral is "non-protein coding LINC01684:13". The record is from RNAcentral. Lineage: Eukaryota; Metazoa; Chordata; Mammalia; Primates; Hominidae.
AAGUGACUGUAGGUUUAGAUGAAUGGAAAAUGAACUUGCCAGUUCACAGCUAUGUCCUUCCCAAUUUAGGAGGUUAAGGGCAGGAAAAACAUGAGAAACUCUUUUGAGAAGCUGCACAAGCUGACAUGGAGGAUCAAGGAUUUCAAAAGCUUUGAAUAUAAAGAGGUGUCAGACUUACAUCAGAGCCUGAGACUUGACAUGCCUAUUUUUGCACUCGCUCAUUUUUCAAAUUUCAUAGGCAUUGCUCCCUCCAAAUCACCGCUCUUCUAAUUUUAUCCUGGAGUGUGCAUCCCAGAAGACAUAAGCUGACACAAUUGGGAACUGAAGUUGCUUGAAAAAGCUGGUGGUAAGAUUAGACUCUAGACAGCUUAUACGUAUUUGGACAAGGCAACGUGAUGAAGAAAUAAUAUAAUUGUAGGAUCACCUCUGUCCAGUAGCUGUUAUCCAACAUCUGCAUACUUAGAUUUCUGGAGAGCCCUAUGCCUUCACAAGAACAAGUUCCCACACCAGGGUCAAGAAGGAAACCGUAAGUCAAGACAAAAGUGCCCAGUGAAGGCAGAAGAUGAGGGGUCUCAGGUUGCAUCUUCGGAGGCACGAGGAUUCAAAGGUGAACAAAGCACACAGUACAUCAUUUGAUGUGGUAAGUUUCAUGGACAUAGAAGUAAGGGGGAUGAAAUGUCGAGGUGUGUGUGGCGGGGGAGGAGGGGAAUUCAAAUGAUAUUCUGAUCAUUAAAUAAACUUGAAACAAACUUGGAAAGGUGAAGUAAAACAGCAGCCAUUUUCCUGACACUCAAGGAUUGCUUCUGCAGGUGGAGAAAACGACAGCUUCAGAUAUUCUAUGAUGUACAGAUGCCAUUUAUCAAAUUCUUUGAUUUCAAGUAAUAAUGGUGUUGGUGCAGCCAGAGUUGCAAAAGAGGACUGUUGAUUCCAACACAGUCUCAAAGAUGGUUGAAUUAUGUGCUUCUACUAAUGUGUCUGUUAUUCUGGAGCCCAUAUUUGGAAACCCAGUCUAAAAAAUGCAUCUUAAUCCCUAUCUAUGAUUUUGAAACCAUUUAAUUAUUUACUUCUCCAUAUGUCUGAAGGCAGUACUACACAUUGGAAGUUUGAGGAAAUAGGAUACUUAAAUAUUUAUUUAAGAUAAUUGAAGAGUAAUUAGUCCAGGGAAAGAUUAUAGGAUUCCCUAGAGGUAUAGGGCCUACUGGAGGUGAUCAAAUUAAAAUGAAGUCAUUCAUAAUGAUUUUUUUUCACUAGUCCUCUCAUGCCUGCAUGAUGAGAAGAUAUGAACAAGUAAAUAAUUGGACUUAACCUGUGCUUUUCCUACUUGCAUAAAAUGAGGAUGUUAAUGGGAAUUGUGGAUAUGUGAAAGAUGAAGAUUAUGAUGAUAGGCCACAGAAUUUAAGUUUAGUAAAAUGGAAAGUGAGAGCAUUUGGUGGUUAGAGAGUAAAAAGGUAGUAGAAACCAUGGUUUGGACAAGGCAAUUAAAUAGGAGUGAAGUAGAGCAAAUAAAAGGAAACACUAUUAAGGCAGAAGGUUGAUACUAUAGAAUUCUGAGAUAAUAAUCAACUAUUGUUUGGAAAUAAAAUUUGUUUAUAUUUA